This 1437-nucleotide ribosomal RNA is filed under the name uncultured bacterium. RNAcentral's name for it is "partial 16S ribosomal RNA". It matches the Rfam family "Bacterial small subunit ribosomal RNA". The record is from RNAcentral.
GUUUGAUCCUGGCUCAGGACGAACGCUGCGGCGUGCUUAACACAUGCAAGUCGAACGGUGAAGGGAGCUUGCUCCUGGAUCAGUGGCGAACGGGUGAGUAACACGUGAGCAACCUACCCUUGACUCUGGGAUAACAGUUGGAAACAGCUGCUAAUACCGGAUACGACCCCGGCAGGCAUCUACCGGGGUGGAAAGCUCCGACGGUCAAGGAUGGGCUCGCGGCCUAUCAGCUUGUUGGUGGGGUAACGGCCCACCAAGGCGACGACGGGUAGCCGGCCUGAGAGGGCGACCGGCCACACUGGGACUGAGAUACGGCCCAGACUCCUACGGGAGGCAGCAGUGGGGAAUAUUGGUCAAUGGGGGAAACCCUGAACCAGCAACGCCGCGUGAAGGAAGAAGGCCCUCGGGUUGUAAACUUCUGUUUUCAGGGACGAAGAAAGUGACGGUACCUGAAGAGAAAGCUCCGGCAAACUACGUGCCAGCAGCCGCGGUAAUACGUAGGUGGCAAGCGUUGUCCGGAAUUAUUGGGCGUAAAGAGCAUGUAGGCGGGAAUCUAAGUCUGUUGUGAAAAUGCGGGGCUCAACCCCGUAUGGCGAUGGAAACUGGAUUUCUUGAGUGCAGGAGAGGAAAGGGGAAUUCCCAGUGUAGCGGUGAAAUGCGUAGAUAUUGGGAGGAACACCAGUGGCGAAGGCGCCUUUCUGGACUGUGUCUGACGCUGAGAUGCGAAAGCCAGGGUAGCGAACGGGAUUAGAUACCCCGGUAGUCCUGGCCGUAAACGAUGGGUACUAGGUGUAGGGGGUAUCGACCCCUCCUGUGCCGGAGUUAACGCAAUAAGUACCCCGCCUGGGGAGUACGGCCGCAAGGUUGAAACUCAAAGGAAUUGACGGGACCCCGCACAAGCAGCGGAGCAUGUUGUUUAAUUCGAUGCAACGCGAAGAACCUUACCUGGGUUUGACAUAUAUCGGAAACGUUCAGAGAUGGGCGCCCCGUAAGGUCGGUAUACAGGUGGUGCAUGGCUGUCGUUAGCUCGUGUCGUGAGAUGUUGGGUUAAGUCCCGCAACGAGCGCAACCCUCGUCCUAUGUUGCCAGCGGGUAAUGCCGGGGACUCAUAGGAUACUGCCGGUGACAAACCGGAGGAAGGUGGGGAUGACGUCAAGUCAGCAUGCCCCUUAUGUCCAGGGCUACAAACGUGCUACAAUGGCCGGUACAAAGGGCUGCAAUACCGCGAGGUGGAGCGAAUCCCAAAAAGCCGGUCCCAGUUCGGAUUGGAGGCUGAAACUCGCCUCCAUGAAGUCGGAGUUGCUAGUAAUCGCAGAUCAGCAAUGCUGCGGUGAAUACGUUCCCGGGCCUUGUACACACCGCCCGUCACACCACGAAAGUCGGUAACACCCGAAGCCMSUGVGCUAACCCGCAAGGGAGGCAGCCGUCGAAGGUGGG